CUGAGUGCAUGAUGAUGUAAAGUUAUCCCUGUCUGAAGGGCAAGAGGCCUUUCUGUGUGGAGCGUGGAUAUCUGAAACUCGG
Molecule: small nucleolar RNA, 82 nt
Filed under: Cricetulus griseus (Chinese hamster)
Lineage: Eukaryota; Metazoa; Chordata; Mammalia; Rodentia; Cricetidae
Description: Small nucleolar RNA R38 (ENSCGRG00000020533.1, ENSCGRG00001006891.1, ENSCGRG00015006040.2)
Rfam family: Small nucleolar RNA R38
About the family: snoR38 is a C/D box small nucleolar RNA conserved across yeast, human, Arabidopsis and rice. It is encoded in the intron of elongation factor-1 gamma in both pombe and cerevisiae. snoR38 guides the methylation of 2'-O-ribose sites in 28S rRNA.
Source: Rfam by way of RNAcentral